UCCUGGUUCACCCAGGCAGUCUCACCAAUGUUCCCAGCUUUACCUGUUGGUAAUAAGUGAUAAGGGUUGCGCUCGUUGCGGGACUUAACCCAACACCUCACGGCACGAGCUGACGACAGCCAUGCAGCACCUGUAAAGACUCCCUUGCGGGCACCCUCAUUUCUGAGAGCUCAGUCUCUAUGUCAAGCCCAGGUAAGGUUCUUCGCGUUGCAUCGAAUUAAACCACAUGCUCCACUGCUUGUGCGGGUCCCCGUCAAUUCUUUUGAGUUUCACACUUGCGUGCGUACUCCCCAGGCGGCACACUUAACGCGUUAGCUCCGGCACGGCUAGGGUUGAUUCCAGCCACACCAAGUGUGCAUCGUUUACCGCUAAGACUAC
RNAcentral lists this unclassified non-coding RNA (378 nucleotides) under uncultured Chlamydiales bacterium. RNAcentral's name for it is "contains 16S-23S intergenic spacer region". Lineage: Bacteria; Pseudomonadati; Chlamydiota; Chlamydiia; Chlamydiales. The record is from RNAcentral.